UGCAUUUCUACGUCAACGGCAGCUUCCUGUCCACAGACGUCUUUUGCCUGUGGCUGCAGAGCACAUUGGAUUUCCGAUGACGCUGACGGCUGCUAAUAUCGUUGUGCCAUCGAUCGCAGACUUUCGUAAGGUCCUGGAAUCCAUCGAUUGCAAGCACUGGCAAAUCAAGCCACCUUAUGACUUGGAGCACCUGUACAGAAAUAGGAAGGACUUGUGCUCCCUAAAUGUACAAGUCUUUCGCAAUGGUAGGGGUGUCAUCAUCCAGCCGACCUCAAAGGGGCCUGGAAGCACGCAUGGCAGCCUCAUCUGAAUGGACUGUGCUCUUCCUGGGAGCUUCAAGGGCAGAAAACUGCCUAAUGGCUGGUUGCUAGGUGACUCUCCCUAUGCCUGAGAGCCAUGGGUGCUCACCCUCCGGUCCGUGGCUGGCCCAGCUGAGCAGCAGUGCAGUGCAGCCCCCACCCAUGCAAGACAAGUCAUACAGUGCACAUUUGGUGUUCUGAGCACGACACAGCAUAUCCGUCCGGCAUGGCAUU
This is a long non-coding RNA of Rhipicephalus sanguineus (brown dog tick), 533 nucleotides long. RefSeq lists it as uncharacterized. The transcript has 3 exons. The record is from RefSeq and is a predicted model, not a curated record. NCBI's taxonomy places the organism in Eukaryota, Metazoa, Arthropoda, Arachnida, Ixodida, Ixodidae.